UGUGCAGAUACAGUUAGAGUAGAUUAGAGACUACCGGAGUGGCAUUCCUGUAGAAUAAAUUUAGAUCGAAAUAGGCUCCGAUGACGAUCCUCCAACGAUCAAGUCCCGAUCGAAAUUAGCUCCAAUAAAGAUUUUUUGAUGAUCAAAUCAAAAAUCUGAUGCAACAGAGUAGAAGAAGAGAAAAUCAUAAGAGGGUACAAACAUGACGGGC
RNAcentral lists this long non-coding RNA (211 nucleotides) under Elaeis guineensis (African oil palm). RNAcentral's name for it is "long non-coding RNA (EGUI_LNC022353)". The record is from RNAcentral. Lineage: Eukaryota; Viridiplantae; Streptophyta; Magnoliopsida; Arecales; Arecaceae.